Molecule: ribosomal RNA, 301 nt
Filed under: uncultured bacterium
Lineage: Bacteria
Description: partial 16S ribosomal RNA
Rfam family: Bacterial small subunit ribosomal RNA
Source: RNAcentral
CAGCCGCCGCGGUAAGACGAACCGUGCGAACGUUAUUCGGAAUUACUGGGCUUAAAGCGCGUGUAGGCGGGUCGGCACGUCGGUCGCUGAAAUCCCCCGGCUCAACCGGGGAAGUGGCGCCGAUACGGCCGGCCUGGAGGGGGGUAGGGGGGCCUGGAACUUCCGGUGGAGCGGUGAAAUGCGUUGAGAUCGGAAGGAACGCCCGUGGCGAAAGCGAGGCCCUGGACCCUUUCUGACGCUGAGACGCGAAAGCCAGGGGAGCGAACGGGAUUAGAUACCCGAGUAGUCCCUGUCUCUUAUU